GUGCUUGCUUUGGCAACAUAUUAACUAAAAGUGAAAUGAUGCAAGGAUUAACUUGGCCCCUGCCCAAGGAUAGCCCAAAAAUUCAUGAAUCAUUCCAUCUUUUU
Jaculus jaculus (lesser Egyptian jerboa) is the source of this 104-nucleotide small nuclear RNA. NCBI's taxonomy places the organism in Eukaryota, Metazoa, Chordata, Mammalia, Rodentia, Dipodidae. The record is from Ensembl.